Molecule: ribosomal RNA, 253 nt
Filed under: uncultured bacterium
Lineage: Bacteria
Description: partial 16S ribosomal RNA
Rfam family: Bacterial small subunit ribosomal RNA
Source: RNAcentral
UACGAGGGGCCCAAACGUUAUUCGGAAUUACUGGGCUUAAAGAGUUCGUAGGCGGCGCAGCAAGUCGGGCGUGAAAGCCCUCGGCUUAACCGAGGAAUUGCGCCCUAAACUACUGUGCUUGAGGAACCUAGAGGUGAGCAGAACAGAUGGUGGAGCGGUGAAAUGCGUUGAUAUCAGCUGGAAUACCGGAGGCGAAGGCGGCUCACUGGGGGUUUUCUGACGCUGAGGAACGAAAGCCAGGGUAGCGAACGGG